GGCGCUCACGGUGAGGAAGCCCCGAGCUCCCGGGACGCAGACAGGGUGUGCAGGGCCGUAGCUCGGGCCUGUGUAUGCACCUGUGCGUGUGUGUUUGAUGCCAGGACAAGGCGGCGGUGUGCGCGGCGAGGAGGCUGCGACAGCUGUAUAGACCCCAGCUGCAGUGAAAUGGCCAUCAAAAAGGGAAGGGAUAAUCGAGUGGUGGAAUAAAAUCUGCAAACAGAAAAAGGACAGACCUGUUUUCGGAACGAGGCUUUUCGAGUUACCACCAUGACUGAAGGCUAAGAGCAACUUGCUUGCGCAUUAAAGAUCACUUGGAGAGAGAGGUCCAGUGAGCAACAACGGCCAGAAAUUUCAGGGAGACCAUCUUGAACCAUCCAGCCUCCACCAGGCCAACAGCUGACAGCUGUCACAUGAAUAUGAUCAGCAGAAGAACCACUCAGGCAAGCCAAGCCCAAAUUGCCAAGCCCCCCAAAUAAUAAGCUAAUUGUUUUUUGUUUUAAGCCAUAAACUUUUGAGGUGGUUAUAUAGCAAUAAAUAACUGAAACAGGUGUUUAACUUUCUAGACUUUUUAAAUGACCAUAUUGAUAUAAUUGUAUUGUUCAACCUGUUUUGUAAAGUGAUUUCUCUGAUACAGUAUCUUGAAAAUAUUCCUUAACUAUUUUCUACAACUUUGCAUUUGUCUAUCUUAGUAUUAUAUUACAUGGAUAUGUGGUAACUUAUUUAACUACUAACUUCCCUUUGCAAUUCCUUUUCCUUGCUGUCUAGCUCCCAUGUCUUGACCAACUUUGCAUUCCCCUCCAGGACCUUAUGGG
Molecule: long non-coding RNA, 815 nt
Filed under: Homo sapiens (human)
Lineage: Eukaryota; Metazoa; Chordata; Mammalia; Primates; Hominidae
Description: non-protein coding LINC01534:9
Source: RNAcentral